AACGAACGCUGGCGGCAUGCCUAACACAUGCAAGUCGAACGAACCCUUCGGGGUUAGUGGCGCACGGGUGCGUAACGCGUGGGAACCUACCAUCAGGUUCGGAAUAACAGUUAGAAAUGACUGCUAAUACCGGAUAAUGUCUUCGGACCAAAGAUUUAUCGCCUUUUGAUGGGCCCGCGUAAGAUUAGGUAGUUGGUGGGGUAAAAGCCUACCAAGCCGACGAUCUUUAGCUGGUCUGAGAGGAUGAUCAGCCACACUGGGACUGAGACACGGCCCAGACUCCUACGGGAGGCAGCAGUGGGGAAUAUUGCGCAAUGGAGGAAACUCUGACGCAGCCAUGCCGCGUGAAUGAAGAAGGCCUUAGGGUUGUAAAAUUCUUUCAGAUGCGAAGAUAAUGACGGUACCAUCAGAAGAAGCUCCGGCUAAAUUCGUG
This 433-nucleotide ribosomal RNA is filed under the name uncultured bacterium. Its description in RNAcentral is "bacterial SSU rRNA". It matches the Rfam family "Bacterial small subunit ribosomal RNA", at positions 29 to 507 of the family's 1533-position model. The record is from RNAcentral.